AAAGAAAUAGUAUUAGCAGUUUUAAAUCUGGAUUCAUAGUAAGAGCUACAAUCAGUGACCAAGGUUCUGCCAAUGUUGCUGCUAUUAAGUCAUUAAUAUCAGAUUCUAAUGCUGAACUCCUACGUAGUAACAAAUAUACCAAUGACAUCUGUUAUAAAAUCGGCCCAAACCAACUGUACCAUAUCUAUGAUGUACCUCAUUUAUUGAAAUGUUUUCGCAAUAAUUUUCAGAAAAAAAACCUACUCAUUGGCAAACCAAAAGGGCAAAAGUGGGAGUAUAUUGAGAGACUUUAUAAAGUGGAUGGUUUUGGUGGCAGAGCAAGAAGCACCAAACUUACUGAGAAGCACAUAAAUCCAACUUCAUAUGACAAAAUGAAGUAACAAUUUGACAUCGUCGGGAGAAUUAAUGGACUUCAGGAUCUUUAGGUCAUCAGCAAACAUGAAAGGUGUGGAAUGAUGCAAGCAAUUGAUAAUGUCAUUUAUGAACAUAUUAAAAAUAACAGUCCCAAAUGGGAGCCCUGUGGGCACCCCAGAAGCAAUAUGAUGGAAAUUGGAACUAAAACCAUUAAGAACCACAUGGUCAAAUUUGCAGCCCAAGUUUUUAGCCGGCAAGUGGCUACAUCACUAGAAAUCCAGAUGAAGUCUCUGCUAUCUCCAGGAUCAUGAUUACAUAAGUUUAAAUGAAGACAUUGGAAAUGGUUUGUUCACAGCAGAAAUUCUUCUUUUAUAAAUAAUUUGUUUGAUAGUUUAAAUGGUUUUGGUCAUUAUGGGAAUAAGUUAAAACAUGCUCUUUCAUAUAAUUCGGAGCACAUUGCAUUCUGGAAUGAUGCUGUGAAAAGCUAGCUUCAAUGCGCUUUGACGCUUCCAAUGAAAGGGAAAGGAAGCCUUUAUCACUGAAGCAUUUUGAACAUAAUAUAAAAACAAUAAAACAUUUGUGGUCAGAUCUGCUGAGAAUUGAUGGUGUUAAAUUUUUAAGUCUUAGACGUCUUAAUCAAGAUCCGAUAGAAAACUUUUUUGGUCAAAUAAGGGCACAUGGUAAUUUUAGUACAAAUCCUAAUUGUACUCAUUUUGUAUCGGCUUUUAAAACCUUGUUGAUUAACAACAUUACUACCGGUAAAUCUUUAUACACUAAUUGUUCUGAUGAUGAUGACAAAAUGUUGGGAACAUUAAAACAUUUAGUCAGCCACCAAAAAUAUGGUUCAUACACUGAUAGUCUUCAAUGUAAUGAAACUAACUUUAUAGAAAUUUCUAUACCUAACGAGAAUAUAUUCCAACAUAAGUCUGUACCAUAUAUUGCUGGUGCAGUUUGUCGUUUUUUGAUGUCCAAUUUGAACUGCAAAGAUUGUGAUAAUUGUACAAAAGCACUAUUAUCUCAGAGAGAGUCAUUUCACGAAUUAAUUAAUUUAAGAGAAUAUAGUUCCAAUGUAGAUAGGUUAUGUUAUCCUUCUAAUAAUUUUAGUCAAAUGGUCUGGCAGAGUAUUUACAUUAUUGACAAGAUGAUGCCAUUUCUUUGCAGUGUUUAUAUUUAUUCUGACUUAAUAAGUAAUUUAAUAAAAUAUAUUGACACUACUUGGUACAACUGUAAUAUUCACAAAACGGCUGUUAUUAAAGCUUUUGGUCCUACAUAGUUAGAAUGCAAGUUAAGCAGUGGUGUAUUAAUUUUAAUAAUAGAAUGAAUAAUAUUGAUUCAAGGCCUAAAGAUAUAGAAAUGGAAACUCUAAUCCGUGAGAAAGUCACAAAAGGAUUGAGUUAUAGAUCACAAAGAAGGCGUAGUUCCUAAUCUCACUUAAUUAAAGUUCUUCAUAGUAUUUUGUCCACAAUUAUUACGAUUUUUGCAAAUGAAAUUGAUGUUUUUUAAAGUGUAUUACCCACAUUUUUGUGGUUUUAAAUUAGCUAUUAUGCUUUCUGUUUAUUGUAUAAAAUCAUAGUAGUUUUUAAAAUAAUCUUCAUUAUGGUGACUGUUAAGCAAAUAGUUGUUAAAAUCUUAUAUACAUAAUUAUGCUUGUACAACCUAAAAUGAGCCUACCAGAUAAUUGUCAAGUAAAUAAAUUACAUUUCUACAAAAAGUAUUAUGUGUAUGUUUCCCAAAUUGUUCAUAUUUUUAUUGAUUUACAUUGUGCAGAAUUAGUAAUUUUACCUUUAAUUUAAUAUUAUAUUUUCAUUAUAAUGUAUUCAACAUUUUCUGUAUUUUGUAGCAUUUUUAGUAGCAAAUGUGCCAUUAUAUGAUAUUGCAAAAUGUUAAAUUAUGCAUGGAAUGCUUUUCGUGAGAGAAUAAUCAUAUUCAAAUAAAUUCUUAGUUUUGUGUUGUUAGAUUAGUUAUUAUACCUAAUGCAUAGUGUAUAAUAGUGAAUAGCUUAAGUAUGGCUCUUUAUAUUGUGUAAAAUUAUAGUGCUAGUCUUCACAAUUAUCUUAAUUUUGCUAACUGUUAAGCAAGCCGUUGUUAAAAUCUCAUAUGCAUAAUUAUGCUUGAACACGGUAAAAUAAAAAUGUUUAUGUUUCCAAAAUAGUU
RNA transcript from Manduca sexta (tobacco hornworm), 2508 nucleotides. RefSeq lists it as uncharacterized. The record is from RefSeq and is a predicted model, not a curated record. The transcript has 3 exons. NCBI's taxonomy places the organism in Eukaryota, Metazoa, Arthropoda, Insecta, Lepidoptera, Sphingidae.